AUCCUUUGGCCGCAUGUAUAGUAAAAUUGGAACAAUACAGAGGUUAGCAUGGCCCCUGUGUAAGGGUGACAUGCAAAUUCAUGAAGCGUUCCAUACUUUU
RNAcentral lists this small nuclear RNA (100 nucleotides) under Alligator mississippiensis (American alligator). The record is from RNAcentral. Lineage: Eukaryota; Metazoa; Chordata; Crocodylia; Alligatoridae.